AGUAGAGGAACAAAGGAGAGAUAAAGAUUGGACUCAAAUUCAUUGCUAAUGUAAGCAAACAUUUUUAUGUGACAUCCAUCAAUUUCUUGUAAUUACGCAUCAGUGGAUUAGAUCACUGAUCUUACAUAAAAUCACCAUCUUUGGCAGAAAGAAGUACUCCCAGAGAGGACUUUCCAUUGUAAAUCUCUGGAAAUUUUCAUGGUGGAGGUUCUGGCUUUAUCAUAUUCAGAGAAAUACUAAAAACAAUACAGGAAGAUUAGAAGUAUAUUAAUUAGAUCAUAAUCUUGAAUCAUAGUCCAAGGAAAAACUUCCUCACGAAAUCAAGAUGGAUUGAGCCUGUGGGAAUUGGAUCAUAUUUUGGUUAUCAAUGGGGAAAAUGUUUCCGUCCAGGAAAUCUGUUCAGAACUCAUCAGAAUAUGUUCCUCAUUGUAGUUUUCAUAUUAUAAGUUAUAAUAAAAAAAGCUAAAACAUACGGGGAAACAUGUUGUUUUUCUCACAAAAUGUAAUAAAUUGCUGCAGUGUUUCUCCAUAUUUUUUUUUUAACACAUGAUUUUCUUUUUUUUUUGUUUUUUUUUGUUAUGAUUGUUUUUAAAAAACUUUUGUUAAUUUUAUUUUUUAAUAUUGAAAUAAUUGAGAAUUUAAUUUUAUAAUUUUUUUUUAAUUUAUAUUGAUUUAUAAGUUGAGCAACAUCAGGUUCUCUCCCCGUGUUAUAUAUAUGGUCAACUUAGAAGCUUCUGAAUAGUCGUUUCUGUAAGAGUACUUUCUUUUAGUGACUAUGGGCAACGGGUCUGAAAAUUGUAGCCUGCAUCUGUUCAAUAGCUGAAUGGACAACAACAAUACCUUCAUUGAGUCCUUGGUUGGUCAAUUUUGCAUAGGAAUACUUUUUUUUUUUCUGGUAAUUUUGUAUGGAACGGUAGACUUGUUGUUUUGCACCUAAAAGUAUGUUCAUGCAUUUGCUUAAUAAAGAAAUAUUUGACCUGAUAAUCUUGAGAUUUUGUUUCUUUGCCAACCCUAUGGAACAGGGAACACAUUUGCAAAAUGGGAUGCACGUCUGUCUCAGGAGUCACGACCCAUUUGAGAAAUUCUGUGUUUCAUAAAAAAAAUGUUAGCAGGAAAUGGAUUUCUUUUCAAAUUGGUACGAGUUUUUCUUUAGACCGAUGGCGAGAGUUCAUCAAUUAUAUACGAAGGCUAAUGUAUUCCACAUGUCUUCCAAGCUAACCUCCGACCGAGCUAACAACUCUUUCUUAUUAAAUUCUAACGUAUACAACUAAGGGUUGCAUGUUCUUUCUUUCCUUCUUUUUUCUUUUUCUUUUUCUUUUUCUUUUAAGGAAUAAAGUUGAGCUGUAAUGAUAUAGAUGUUUAAGAAUGAGGUUAUUUGGUUUUUGUACAGUAGGUAAUCACAUAUACAUAUUAAUAUUUUAUUUUUCA
RNAcentral lists this long non-coding RNA (1428 nucleotides) under Populus trichocarpa (black cottonwood). Its description in RNAcentral is "long non-coding RNA (PTRI_LNC000671)". The record is from RNAcentral. Lineage: Eukaryota; Viridiplantae; Streptophyta; Magnoliopsida; Malpighiales; Salicaceae.